Molecule: long non-coding RNA, 2442 nt
Filed under: Homo sapiens (human)
Lineage: Eukaryota; Metazoa; Chordata; Mammalia; Primates; Hominidae
Description: HSALNT0403963
Source: RNAcentral
UAACUGCUACAUAAUUUUUUGUAGUAUAUAUUUUCAGGCCUCUUUUUCUAUAUGUAAAAAAGGCUGCCAUAGACUCACUUGUAUGAUAUCGAAGUCAUGUUUCUCAAGAUUCCCAUUUUCAUGAUCUGCUUAGCCAUCACCCUUUCCCUGUGGCCUCCAGAUGACUAUCUAUUGUUUUUAUUCAUUAGAACUGCUUCAGUCCUUGUGGCACAGAACACGAACUAACUCACUAUGAGAGAUGAACAUACUUCCAACCCCAAGACUACACCAGGAUAAUCUAGUCUCAUAGAAGCAGGGAGGCAUUUUCCUCUAUUUUAUCCAACUUGCACUGCCAAACAAGGUCUGGGCCUUUUCUCUCUUUUUAAUCCUUUCAUUCCAAUUGUUGGACAUGUUUUCCAUAUAGGAGAUUUUAAAACUCUGCUAUUUAUUCCCCAAGCACCCUCUAAUUAGCUAUUUAGUUCCCAUUAUAAGUGUGUUUGUUGCCAUUUAAUUAAGAGCAGUGAUACGACAAUUCCCUUUUUGUUUUAAAAAGAUAUCACGGAAAUAAAUCUCCCUGAUCAGUUAUUUGGUUAUUGCUACUGUUUUUUUUUUUUUUCUAUUCCCGAAAAAUGGGCUUGCUUUAUUUUGCUCUUUUUAGUCUCUCACAACAAAUUUUCCCCUUUUUUUCAUGAUUUUCACUUCCCGUUGUAAAGUUAGCUCACAGUGUUGAAAUGCCCUCUUUGAACACAUAUUUUUACUUCCUCAUCCUCCUCUCCCUGUGGUAACCCAGGCUUCUCUAUUGUAACUCAACAUUCAGCAGGUAUACAGAGACUGCCUCCACUACGUGGGUUUCAAACUGAAUAACUCAUUGUUGGGUCUGGAUCUGUAAAAAGGUUUUGUCACUGAUGGGCAAUAUGGAGAGAAUGUAAAAAUAUCUAACUUCAAACAGAAAAAAGAAACAACUGGAAUGAAAAGCUAUAAACAAUAGGUAAGGAAACACAAACAUUUACAUUUUAACACAGACCAAACAGGCAAGAAGGGACUUGCUGGCCAAAGAUAUCUCAUAUUUUGUUUUACUUCUCUGUUUUUAAAGUAUCAGGAAGUUGGGCCAAAUAUCAACUCUCUUCUAUAUUACAUGGACCUCCCAAUACUGUUCUUGGCUAGCCUGUUCACGGUCCAAACUGGCAUUUUAAACCAAUUCUAAUUAGGUUGAAAUUACAGUUACAAUUCAUUUACUUCAAAUCCGUUAACCUUCCAGUGUUGCAAAGAAGGCUGUGGAGUGGAACACAGAAUUCAGCUGAGAUGAUAUUUAAGGCAUAGCUAGGGACUGUGAUCUUGCCGACAAAAAUAUUACUUAUUUCCUUUUUAUGAAAAGAAUAUUACCAUCAGAAUCCAAGACCUCCGAACUUCCCUGCUGAAGGCACGUUUACGUCUUUGGACUCUGGUGUACCAGGGCCUGAACAAGCUAUAACACCAUGGUAUUACCAAAUACAUCCUAAGUCAUCAAAACAGCUUUUUAGGCUAAUUCUGUAAGUACAGCAAAACACACAGCAAACUUAAGGUUUUCUUAGUAGUAAAAAACAUGUAUCUCUCAUACUGUAAAAAAUAAAGGUGUUCCAUGGGAGGGAAGGAGUAGGGGGAGAACAGGUUGGGGCUCAAAAUAAGCAAGUAGGGUUAUUGUAAUCUAUUUUAAAGAAAAUUCAUAAUUUUAAAUCUCUCUUUAGUUCAGAAGAUUGACGUAGAGGAUUUACCUACAGAACUUCAGGAGAUUCCUAAGAAGGCCUUCAGUGAUCUUUUCAUCAAUAUCAUCAGGCCUUAUCAUUGUUUCACAUUUGCUUCUCUUUACCAUAGGGAAUAUAAUAAUUAUUUACUGGUUAACUUCCUAGGGAGAUUGCCUGCGGCUUAUUUAAGAUCCAAAUUUUAAAGUAAUAAUUUCUGUUGAAGCUGCUUGUGAGGUGGUUGGGUGGGCAGAUAGAGUGAAGCCAGGGACACACACUAAAUGAGCCCGGGAUGUAGGCAGGUUUUGAUGUUUUGCUUGCUUUUAUCCCUAACAUUUUAUCCCUUCACGUUUACUGUCUCACUGAACAUUUUGUCUACUCUUCUAGUUAUGCAGUGAGCAGGUCUCCUCCAGGAAGAAGCCUCUUUUUAUGAGGAUUGGGGUGGUGACAGACAAUAAUCAAAUGGUCUGAUUUCUCUGCUAUCCUUUCCUUUCCCCUAAAUGUUCUCAGGGGAUCUGCUUGAACUUUUUUCAAGAGCUCUGUAUUUGGAUUUUUAGUAGCCUAUAGAUUAUCACUCAAUAAAACAAAUUAAUUGUUUUUAAGUGAAUUGCCAAAAGUCAUUUUAAAAAGGAAACUCUAUGGUUAUUAUGGUUUCUGCUAGAAAGAAUUCUGACAGCUCAUAAAAGCAAUAUGUAUAAUUUUUCAUUUUUUAGAAGAAAAUAAAUACUUUCAUGUAAUGGCUUGA